GACGAACGCUGGCGGCGUGCUUAAAAACAUGCAAGUCGAACGGACUUCUCAUGAAGCUUGCGAUUGAGAAGUUAGUGGCGGACGGGUGAGUAACGCGUGGGCAACCUGCCCCUGAGCCCGGGAUAACAGUUCGAAAGGACUGCUAAGACCGGAUAUACUUGCGGGGAAGCAUUUCACUGCAAGGAAAGGGAACGCUCAGGGAUGGGCCCGCGUCCCAUUAGCUAGUUGGUGAGGUAACGGCCCACCAAGGCGACGAUGGGUAGCCGGCCUGAGAGGGUGAACGGCCACACUGGGACUGGGACACGGCCCAGACUCCUACGGGAGGCAGCAGUUGGGAAUCUUCGGCAAUGGGCGCAAGCCUGACCGAGCAACGCCGCGUGAGUGAUGAAGGUUUUCGGAUUGUAAAGCUCUGUCUUCCGGGACGAUAAUGACGGUACCGGAGGAGGAAGCCACGGCUAACUACGUGCCAGCAGCCGCGGUAAGAGUGUGUGUA
This 493-nucleotide ribosomal RNA is filed under the name uncultured bacterium. RNAcentral describes it as "bacterial SSU rRNA". It matches the Rfam family "Bacterial small subunit ribosomal RNA", at positions 28 to 533 of the family's 1533-position model. The record is from RNAcentral.